Molecule: long non-coding RNA, 1932 nt
Organism: Arabidopsis lyrata subsp. lyrata
Lineage: Eukaryota; Viridiplantae; Streptophyta; Magnoliopsida; Brassicales; Brassicaceae
Exons: 8
Source: RefSeq, a predicted model, not a curated record
ACUUUAGCUAGAAUAAGAUACAUAAGCUAAUUCUACGAAUGGGCCACAAAGAAACAUACUUCACCACUUUGGGCCUAUACUAACUUCAUCAGCCCAAUAAGACAAAACACAAAAACCCACUUCUCUUGUUGACUUUUCUUCUUCUUCUUCUCAUGUCUUCUCUCUUACGACCAAGCCGACCACUUCGUCUUCUUCUUCAAGGUUUCAAUCUUCUUGUUCUUCAUCAUCGUUUGACUCAUAGUAGUUUUCUCUUUUGCAGGCUCAAUCGAAAACUCAACUCUCAACACUCCCUCUUGAGUUUUCGAUUUGAGGUCUCGAUUCCAAGUUAGAAUUUUGAAUCUUGAUGCUUUUACUUCUUCGGUACUGGUUCCUUUUCUCUUCAUCGAAGGAGAGCUCUUCAGGGCAUCGACAUAACUCAUCGUCUCAGUUGUGUUCACUUUGGUCUUCUUUUUCAUAAAAUCUGGAGAGAAAUCUAUAUCUCCAAACUUGAUGACAUUUAAAUUUUCAACCACUGGUUUCUUCUCUAAUCCAAUUUUGCUCCCUCUCAAUCUUAGGUGAGCUUUCAAAUUUCUCCACCGUGUCUCCUUUCGACACCACAUUGUUCAGCUUGGUUCCGUGAACCACAUCUUUGGUUUCUUUAACUUUGUUUUCUUCUUUUCCAAGUUCAGAACCAGUCUGGUUCUUACCUUCACUCACUGAUUUUCCUUUCACUGCUUCAGCUCCGAUCUUCUUAGGUUGAUACAUCACAGAUUUGUUCUUCUCUUCAGCAUUUUUCUCAGUACACCAAGAUUGCAUCAUCUUUUGAUUUUCGACUUUAGUGUGUCCAGCAUCUUGACGACCAGAUUCAACAUUUUCUUUCGCAACCACCAUUGUUGCUUCUUCAUUUGCUGACAUUUUUAGAUGGAAACUCUUCUUGAUCAUUGGUACCUCUGCUAUCUUUCUCCCAGCUGGAUCAUGAAUGGUACAGCCUCUUUGAUCGAAGCUCCAUUACCUACACAUAUAAGAACAUUGAAGCUUUUGUUGAGAUUUGAGAAUAGCUUUUCAUCUGAAGCCAUAUGAUUUGUGCAUCCACUAAUGAGCCAGACAUUCUCUUCAGUUUGCAGUCUUUUAUUAGAUGACCCACUUUGCCACAGUGAAAACAACUCCAAUUCCUAGUGUCUCUGUUUCUGUUGAAAUCAGACUUCUGAACCGUGCAUGAAAGGCUCCUUCUGCAUCUUCUUCAUCUUCAGGGAAGAAUUUCUUUUCAUGUGCCUCAAGAGAUCCAAGUAGCUCAGCAUAGGUAACUGUUUGUAGAUCCCUAGUUUCUUCCAUUAAGGAUGACAGACCAGCAUAACUUUUUGGCAUAGAGGCCAGCAUUUUUACCACUAAAUCAAAGUUUGAUUUCCCUUCACCUAGAGCUCUCAUCUGAUUUGCUACAGCCUGAAUCCUAUCCGAUGCCCCAGGAGUUUCCAUGCUUGGUGUGAUGAAGAUGCAGAGAGGAUCUUGUCAAAGACCACAUCAGCCACAUCAUGCUGAAUAAUUUGGAGAGCAGCAGUGUCUUUAGCUUUUAGGGCCUUCAGGGCAGCAUCUUUUCCUUUAUCUGGAGUUUCAGUUGAUUGAGUUGUAGCUUCUGGUACUCCAUCUUUGACGACUUCCCAUAGAUCUUUAUUCAAGAGUGUAGUUUUCAUUCUUGCAGCCCAGAACUCAUAGUUCUGACCAUCAAAGACUGCAACCAGUUGAGAGGACUGCAAGUUUAACGCCAUGCUCCAAGAACAAGAUGAGCUCUGAUACCAUGUUGUUUUUCUGCUUAGAUCACAGAUUUGUUUUUCUUUUCUCUUAAACUUUCAUACUUUCAUACAUUACAUCCAAUGUUUACACAAUACAACUUAUAGAGAUUUCUUCUACUCACUACAACCACUCUCUUAGGGGGGUUUAUUGGAUCAUUGAUUUGAA